This 854-nucleotide long non-coding RNA is filed under the name Patiria miniata (bat star). Its description in RNAcentral is "uncharacterized LOC119737464". The record is from RNAcentral. Lineage: Eukaryota; Metazoa; Echinodermata; Asteroidea; Valvatida; Asterinidae.
CAUCGAUCACUACCUUGCUGGUGCUUCACAGGGAUGGAACAGACUCAAAGUCCUUCAAUGUUGUUAACUUGUUGAAUGCCUUGUACACGCUGUUCAACGCCAUCAUUUCCAACUAUGACGUCUACAAGGUUGAAAGCAUCGACGAUGCCUACAUGUUGGUCUCUUGCCUACUGAUCCGUAAUGGCAGCCGUCAUGCUGGUAUGAUCGCCUCCGCUGCAUGGCAUCUUCUGGAGGGCGAUGAUAGUUGAUCAUGCCACACAAACAAGAUGAGAAACUCAAACUCCGCAUCGGUAUUCACUCAGGGCAAAGGUGAAAGUCUGACGUACUGGCUCGAGGGACAUGAUCCAUGCUACAAGAUCGACCGAAUCAAGCCACCCGAACAAAACUUGUAAACAACCAGAAUAUUAUCCCAACAUUAUCUGCAACGCAUUUGGAUCAGCAAUUUUUUGUAAAGAGGUGAUGGCAGAUCUACCAGCUCACUUCACAUCAGAGAGCUCUCUUGAGAAGCACUAUAGAAGCACUAUAAGGCCCAGGAGAAGGACUGCUUCUCACGGCUAGAACAGACUCAGACCAGAGCUCUCUUGAGAAGCACUAUACGGCCAAGGAGAAGGACAGCACCAAGUACACAUCACUACCUUGCUGAUGCUUCACAGGGAUGGAACAGACUCAGACCAGAGCUCCCUUGUACAUCGAUCACUACCUUGCUGGUGCAUCACAGGAAUUGAAGAGACUCAGAACAGAGCUCCCUUGAGAAGCACUAUACGGCCCAGGAGAAGGACUGCAUCAAGUACAUCGAUCACUACCUUGCUGGUGCUUCACAGGGAUGGAACAGACUCAGACCAGAGCUCCCUUGU